GAUGAAGAACGUAGCGAAAUGCGAUAAGUAAUGCGAAUUGCAGAAUUCAGUGAGUCAUCGAAUCUUUGAACGCACAUUGCGCCCGCCAGUAUUCUGGCGGGCAUGCCUGUUCGAGCGUCAUUACAACCCUCAGGCCCCCGGGCCUGGCGUUGGGGAUCGGCGGAGCCCCCCGUGGGCACACGCCGUCCCCCAAAUGCAGUGGCGGUCCCGCCGCAGCUUCCAUCGCGUAGUAGCUAACACCUCGCGACUGGAGAGCGGCGCGGCCACGCCGUAAAACACCCAACUCUUCUGAAGUUGACCUCGAAUCAGGUAGGAAUACCCGCUGAACUUAAGCAUAUCAAUAAGCGGAGGA
This 352-nucleotide unclassified non-coding RNA is filed under the name soil metagenome. Its description in RNAcentral is "partial contains 5.8S ribosomal RNA, internal transcribed spacer 2, and large subunit ribosomal RNA". The stretch from base 1 to 120 matches the Rfam family "5.8S ribosomal RNA", at positions 35 to 154 of the family's 154-position model. The record is from RNAcentral.